GGGAGGGUGGCCGAGCGGUCUAAGGCGCUACGUUAAGGUGAAUACCUUGAUCCAAAUUCCCUUCAGAAUUCCGUAGUCUCGAAAGGGGCGCGAGUUCGAAUCUCGCCCCUCUCA
Podospora anserina is the source of this 114-nucleotide transfer RNA. It matches the Rfam family "tRNA". From Rfam's summary of the family: Transfer RNA (tRNA) molecules are approximately 80 nucleotides in length. Their secondary structure includes four short double-helical elements and three loops (D, anti-codon, and T loops). Further hydrogen bonds mediate the characteristic L-shaped molecular structure. tRNAs have two regions of fundamental functional importance: the anti-codon, which is responsible for specific mRNA codon recognition, and the 3' end, to which the tRNAs corresponding amino acid is attached (by aminoacyl-tRNA synthetases). tRNAs cope with the degeneracy of the genetic code in two manners: having more than one tRNA (with a specific anti-codon) for a particular amino acid; and 'wobble' base-pairing, i.e. permitting non-standard base-pairing at the 3rd anti-codon position. NCBI's taxonomy places the organism in Eukaryota, Fungi, Ascomycota, Sordariomycetes, Sordariales, Podosporaceae. The record is from Rfam.